AACGAACGCUGGCGGCAGGCUUAACACAUGCAAGUCGAACGGGUGUAGCAAUACAUCAGUGGCAGACGGGUGAGUAACACGUGGGAACCUUCCUAGGGGUACGGAACAACUCAGGGAAACUUGAGCGAAUACCUUAUACGUCCGUGAGGAGAAAGAUUGAUCGCACUUAGACGGGCCCGCGUCGGAUUAGCUAGUUGGUGGGGUAACGGCCUACCAAGGCGACGAUCCGUAGCUGAUCUUAGAGGAUGAUCAACCACACUGGGACGUGAGACACGGCCCAGACUCCUACGGGAGGCAGCAGUGGGGAAUCUUGGACAAUGGGCGCAAGCCUGAUCCAGCCAUGCCGCGUGAGUGAGGAAGGUCUUCGGAUUGUAAAGCUCUUUUGCCAGGGACGAUAAUGACGGUACCUGGAGAAUAAGCCCCGGCAAACUUCGUGCCAGCCGCCGCAGUAA
RNAcentral lists this ribosomal RNA (452 nucleotides) under uncultured bacterium. Its description in RNAcentral is "partial 16S ribosomal RNA". It matches the Rfam family "Bacterial small subunit ribosomal RNA", at positions 29 to 523 of the family's 1533-position model. The record is from RNAcentral.